CGGGAUCAGGUUUGUAGCAAUACAAAUCUGGUCCAGUGGCAAACGGGUGCGUAACACGUGAGCAAUCUGCCGGGAAGUGGGGGAUAGCUCGCCGAAAGGCGAAUUAAUACCGCAUAUGGCCAGGGAGGACAUCCUUCCGAAGCCAAAGUCGCAAGACGCUUCCUGAUGAGCUCGCGGCCUAUCAGCUAGUUGGUGAGGUAACGGCUCACCAAGGCUAUGACGGGUAGCUGGUCUGAGAGGACGACCAGUCACACUGGAACUGAGACACGGUCCAGACACCUACGGGUGGCAGCAGUCGAGAAUUUUUCACAAUGGGGGAAACCCUGAUGGAGCGACGCCGCGUGGAGGACGAAGGCCUUCGGGUCGUAAACUCCUGUCAUGCGGGAACAAGAAAGUGAUAGUACCGCAAGAGGAAGAGACGGCUAACUCUGUGCCAGCAGCCGCGGUAAUACAGAGGUCUCAAGCGUUGUUCGGAUUCAUUGGGCGUAAAGGGUGCGCAGGCGGCGUGGAAAGUUGAGUGUGAAAUCCUGGGGCUUAACCUCAGAACUGCACUCAAUACUCCCAUGCUAGAGGAAUGUAGAGGAGAGUGGAAUUCACGGUGUAGCAGUGAAAUGCGUAGAUAUCGUGAGGAAGACCAGUUGCGAAGGCGACUCUCUGGGCAUUUCCUGACGCUCAUGCACGAAGGCCAGGGGAGCAAACGGGAUUAGAUACCCCGGUAGUCCUGGCAGUAAACGGUGCACGUUUGGUGUGGGCGGGCUCAGACCCCGUCCGUGCCGGAGCUAACGCGUUAAACGUGCCGCCUGGGAAGUACGGUCGCAAGAUUAAAACUCAAAGAAAUUGACGGGGGCCCGC
RNAcentral lists this ribosomal RNA (852 nucleotides) under uncultured organism. Its description in RNAcentral is "bacterial SSU rRNA". It matches the Rfam family "Bacterial small subunit ribosomal RNA", at positions 67 to 924 of the family's 1533-position model. The record is from RNAcentral.